AUUGAACGCUGGGGCAGGUUAACACAUGCAAGUCGAGCGGGGAAGGGUAGCUUGCUACCUGACCUAGCGGCGGACGGGUGAGUAAUGCUUAGGAAUCUGCCUAUUAGUGGGGGACAACAUUCCGAAAGAGAGCUAAUACCGCAUACGCGCUACGGGGAAAGCGGGGGAUUUCGGACCUUGCGCUAAUAGAUGAGCCUAAGACAGAUUAGCUAGUUGGGGGGGUAAAGGCCUACCAAGGCGACGAUCUGUAGCGGGUCUGAGAGGAUGAUCCGCCACACUGGGACUGAGACACGGCCCAGACUCCUACGGGAGGCAUGGGAGGGGGAAUAUUGGACAAUGGGCGCACGCGUAAUCCAGCCAUUCCGCGCGUGUGAAAAAGGCCUUUUGUUUGCAAAGGACCUUUAAGCGUGGGAGAAGCUACUUUGGAUAAAAACCCAAGGAAAGGGGACGUUACUCUCAAAAAAAAGCACCCCGCUAACCCUGUGCCCGCAGGCCCCGGUGAAAAAAAAGGUGGCGAGCGUUAAAUCGAUUUUCCGGGGCGAAAAGGGUGCGGAGGGCGGCUUUUUAAAGUCGAAUGUAAAACCCCUGACCUUGUGUUGGGAUUUCCAUCCAAAACUGGGAAGGCUAGGGAUUGGGGAGAAGCGGAGAAUUCCAGGGUUAGCGUGCAAAAACCUAGAAGAAUCGUGAUCAACCCGAUUGCCAAGUACGCCAUCCUGCUCUAAAAGGACGCUGAAGCCUAGAUGCAUGUGGAGGAUAUGGGUUAGAAUACCCUCUUGUCCAAAGGCCGAAUCCUACAUGGUCGUGCUCGCUCCGGAGGGUCCACUUGUGUUGAGAGGCGUCCCACCGGGGAGGGUCCAAUUUGCCCCAUGCCGCGUGCGUAGUAAAGCUAGUCGCAUGCCGCCUUGUAUUCUCAACUCGCG
Molecule: ribosomal RNA, 920 nt
Filed under: uncultured Streptococcus sp.
Lineage: Bacteria; Bacillati; Bacillota; Bacilli; Lactobacillales; Streptococcaceae
Description: bacterial SSU rRNA
Rfam family: Bacterial small subunit ribosomal RNA
Source: RNAcentral